AUGAACGCUAGCUACAGGCUUAACACCUGCCAGUCGGGGGGCAGCAUGGUUUUAGCUUGCUAAGGCCGUUGUCGACCGGCGCACGGGUGAGUAACACGUAUCCAACCUGCCGUCUACUCUUGGACAGCCUUCUGAAAGGAUGAUUAAUACAAGAUGGCAUCAUGAGUCCUCAUGUUCACAUUAUUAAAGGUAUUCCGGUAGACGAUGGGGAUGCGUUCCAUUAGAUAGUAGGAGGAGUAACGGCCCACCUAGUCUUCGAUGGAUAGGGUUUCUGAGAGGAAGGACAAUCACAAAGGAACUGAGACAACGUACAAAGAGCUACGGGAGGAAGCAGUGAAGAAUAUUAGUCAAUGGGCGAGAGCCAGAACCAACCAAGUAGCGUGAAGGAAGAAUGCCCUAGGGGUUGUAAACAUCUGUUAAAAAGGAAUAAAAGCGGGUAUGGAUACCCGGUUGCAUGUACUUGAUGAAUAAGGAUCGGCUAACUCCGUG
RNAcentral lists this ribosomal RNA (489 nucleotides) under uncultured bacterium. RNAcentral's name for it is "partial 16S ribosomal RNA". It matches the Rfam family "Bacterial small subunit ribosomal RNA", at positions 29 to 507 of the family's 1533-position model. The record is from RNAcentral.